Molecule: ribosomal RNA, 491 nt
Filed under: uncultured bacterium
Lineage: Bacteria
Description: partial 16S ribosomal RNA
Rfam family: Bacterial small subunit ribosomal RNA
Source: RNAcentral
AGUGAACGCUGGCGGUAGGCCUAACACAUGCAAGUCGAACGGCAGCACAGUAAGAGCUUGCUCUUACGGGUGGCGAGUGGCGGACGGGUGAGGAAUACAUCGGAAUCUACUUUUUCGUGGGGGAUAACGUAGGGAAACUUACGCUAAUACCGCAUACGACCUACGGGUGAAAGCAGGGGAUCUUCGGACCUUGCGCGAUUGAAUGAGCCGAUGUCGGAUUAGCUAGUUGGCGGGGUAAAGGCCCACCAAGGCGACGAUCCGUAGCUGGUCUGAGAGGAUGAUCAGCCACACGGGAACUGAGACACGGUCCAGACUCCUACGGGAGGCAGCAGUGGGGAAUAUUGGACAAUGGGCGCAAGCCUGAUCCAGCCAGACCGCGGGGGUGAAGAAGGCCUUCGGGUGGUAAAGCCCUUUUGUUGGGAAAGAAAAGCAGCAGGUUAAUACCCCGCUGUUCUGACGGUACCCAAAGAAUAAACACCGGCUAACUUCGU